This 454-nucleotide ribosomal RNA is filed under the name uncultured Gammaproteobacteria bacterium. RNAcentral describes it as "bacterial SSU rRNA". It matches the Rfam family "Bacterial small subunit ribosomal RNA", at positions 542 to 997 of the family's 1533-position model. Lineage: Bacteria; Pseudomonadati; Pseudomonadota; Gammaproteobacteria. The record is from RNAcentral.
AGUACGGAUUCUGGGCGUAAGCGUGCGUAGGCGGUUAUUUAAGUCAGAUGUGAAAGCCCCGGGCUUAACCUGGGAACUGCAUUUGAUACUGGGUAACUAGAGUUUAAUAGAGGAGAGUGGAAUUUCAGGUGUAGCGGUGAAAUGCGUAGAGAUCUGAAGGAACACCAGUGGCGAAGGCGACUCUCUGGAUUAAAACUGACGCUGAGGUACGAAAGCGUGGGUAGCAAACAGGAUUAGAUACCCUGGUAGUCCACGCCGUAAACGAUGUCAACUAGCCGUUGGGCCUUUAUACAGGUUUAGUGGCGCAGCUAACGCAUUAAGUUGACCGCCUGGGGAGUACGGCCGCAAGGUUAAAACUCAAAUGAAUUGACGGGGGCCCGCACAAGCGGUGGAGCAUGUGGUUUAAUUCGAUGCAACGCGAAGAACCUUACCUACCCUUGACAUCCAUAGAAUC